GGGGAUAUAGCUCAGUUGGUAGAGCGCCGCUCUUGCAAGGCGGUAAUGAUAGUAUCUUGUACCUG
RNAcentral lists this transfer RNA (65 nucleotides) under Amaranthus hypochondriacus (grain amaranth). RNAcentral describes it as "tRNA-Ala". It matches the Rfam family "tRNA". From Rfam's summary of the family: Transfer RNA (tRNA) molecules are approximately 80 nucleotides in length. Their secondary structure includes four short double-helical elements and three loops (D, anti-codon, and T loops). The record is from RNAcentral. RNAcentral also lists the same sequence under 13 other names. Lineage: Eukaryota; Viridiplantae; Streptophyta; Magnoliopsida; Caryophyllales; Amaranthaceae.